GCAAACAGCGAAACGAGCUCGAGGAA
Molecule: non-coding RNA, 26 nt
Filed under: Drosophila melanogaster (fruit fly)
Lineage: Eukaryota; Metazoa; Arthropoda; Insecta; Diptera; Drosophilidae
Source: RNAcentral